Molecule: ribosomal RNA, 261 nt
Filed under: uncultured archaeon
Lineage: Archaea
Description: partial 16S ribosomal RNA
Rfam family: Archaeal small subunit ribosomal RNA
Source: RNAcentral
CGGGUAGUCCUAGCCGUAAACGAUACUCGCUAGGUGUCGGCCACGGUGCGACCGUUGUCGGUGCCGUAGGGAAGCCGUGAAGCGAGCCACCUGGGAAGUACGGCCGCAAGGCUGAAACUUAAAGGAAUUGGCGGGGGAGCACCACAACGGGUGGAGCUUGCGGUUUAAUUGGAUUCAACGCCGGAAAUCUUACCGGGACCGACAGCAAUAUGAAGGCCAGGCUGAAGACUUUGCCGGAUUAGCUGAGAGGUGGUGCAUCGC